GGGCCCAUAGUAAAGUGGCAUUACGCCGCAUUCGCAUUGCGGAGGCGGGAGUCCGAUUCUCCCUGGGUCCA
RNAcentral lists this transfer RNA (71 nucleotides) under bacterium. Its description in RNAcentral is "tRNA-Ala". It matches the Rfam family "tRNA". Rfam says of the family: Transfer RNA (tRNA) molecules are approximately 80 nucleotides in length. Their secondary structure includes four short double-helical elements and three loops (D, anti-codon, and T loops). The record is from RNAcentral.